GGGAAUGUGGCUCAGUGGUAGAGUGCUUGCCUUGCUGCAUGAAGCCCUGGGUUCGAUUCCUCAGUACCA
This 69-nucleotide transfer RNA is filed under the name Dipodomys ordii (Ord's kangaroo rat). It matches the Rfam family "tRNA". Rfam says of the family: Transfer RNA (tRNA) molecules are approximately 80 nucleotides in length. Their secondary structure includes four short double-helical elements and three loops (D, anti-codon, and T loops). Further hydrogen bonds mediate the characteristic L-shaped molecular structure. tRNAs have two regions of fundamental functional importance: the anti-codon, which is responsible for specific mRNA codon recognition, and the 3' end, to which the tRNAs corresponding amino acid is attached (by aminoacyl-tRNA synthetases). tRNAs cope with the degeneracy of the genetic code in two manners: having more than one tRNA (with a specific anti-codon) for a particular amino acid; and 'wobble' base-pairing, i.e. permitting non-standard base-pairing at the 3rd anti-codon position. The record is from Rfam by way of RNAcentral. Lineage: Eukaryota; Metazoa; Chordata; Mammalia; Rodentia; Heteromyidae.